GAGAAACAGCUCGUGCCAUGGAAAAUCAACCUGGGAAUUCCAAUCCUGUCAGCGACAUCGUUGGUCCAAGGGAAGAACAUGUCGGAGACGAGGCAAUCGGGGCGAUUCUGCUGAAGAGCUUCCUCGAAAGGGGAUUCAAGCAAAUUGACAGCUUCCAAGAAUUUGGGGAGUAAAUCCAUGGAUGGAAUGGAGUCGGCAUUUUCACAAGUAUCUGGUAGGCCA
This 222-nucleotide unclassified non-coding RNA is filed under the name Hevea brasiliensis (rubber tree). Lineage: Eukaryota; Viridiplantae; Streptophyta; Magnoliopsida; Malpighiales; Euphorbiaceae. The record is from RNAcentral.